RNAcentral lists this ribosomal RNA (981 nucleotides) under Triticum aestivum (bread wheat). RNAcentral describes it as "partial small subunit ribosomal RNA". The record is from RNAcentral. Lineage: Eukaryota; Viridiplantae; Streptophyta; Magnoliopsida; Poales; Poaceae.
AUGACGUUCGAGGAGCCCAGCAGUGUCGGGAAGCACGACUGCUCCACCAGCGGGUGUAGAAAGGCGUACACAGCGACUUGGGCCACGGCUGCCGCAGGGUCUGAGUGUCUGACGGUAGUCGGUAGCAAGUGCUCAAAGUCGAAGGUCGGCAGGAGGAAAUCGAUGCUGGCAUCCUCGCCGACCUGCCACUUGGCUUUGGCGCUGGUGACGCGCUGCACCGUGAGGCGGAAGGUGGCCGCGUCGGUGCUGAUGUACGUGGUGGGCACACGCUUGGAUGGCUGCGCCUGCUGCUUCCCUAUGCGGCCGCCCGCUGGCCCCUGCAUUCUCGUUUCUCCUUCCUCCCCUCCCUGCAGCUUGUGGCCAAGCUUGCUCCGCCACUCGCCAGGAGCUCUAGCCGGCAGCCCGGAUCACCUGCAUGAGCCUGCGGGCAUCAGGAGUUAUGCCGCGGCGGAGGAGAGCAUGUGGUGGCAGCGGCCGACAGCCAGAGAGUGGGCUACCGCGUGCAGGGGCGGCAGCAUCGAGCGGCGCUCGGUGAUGGUUUUCUACGGGAUGAUGAUGAGCAGCACACCGAGGGCCCGAAGGAGAGCCGGAGAUGUCAAGGAGGCACGGUGGAGGAGAGCCGGGCGAGGGGGCAGGUCACCGGAGGUGGAGAAGAUGAUAAGGGCGCCAGCUAUUGAGGCUCUCCCGCUUCGAUUUGGCGACCUCAUAGAUCCCCCGCAUCCAUGGCAUGCACCAAGCUCAAUAGGAUGGAGGCGUCCAUGGCGCCUAGCCCAUGUCCCCCUCGAGCCGACGCCACUGGUGUGCCAUGACCGCGAGCUCGGCCGGCCUCCUGCACCACGGUCGCGUAUGCCCAAGGUCGCAGCCUCGCUUGUGCGCGCUUCUGCAGCCCCACGCGCCUCCUCCUCGUCCGCUCACUCGUGCCCGGCCGUGCUCCGAGUGAGCACGGCCGCACCCUGGCCCUGUCCUGUGCGUGCUCCAUAG